UGACUCAUGUGAUGGGUUUGUCAGUGAAGU
This 30-nucleotide non-coding RNA is filed under the name Rattus norvegicus (Norway rat). Lineage: Eukaryota; Metazoa; Chordata; Mammalia; Rodentia; Muridae. The record is from RNAcentral.